CCUACGGGGCGCAGCAGUGGGGAAUAUUGCACAAUGGCGGAAACCCUGAUGCAGCGACGCCGCGUGAGUGAAGAAGUAUCUCGGUACGUAAAGCUCUAUCAGCAGGAAAGAAAAUGACGGUACCUGACUAAGAAGCCCCGGCUAACUACGUGCCAGCAGCCGCGGUAAUACGUAGGUGGCAAGCGUUGUCCGGAUUUACUGGGUGUAAAGGGCGUGCAGCCGGGAAGACAAGUCAGAUGUGAAAUCCCGCGGCUCAACCGCGGAACUGCAGUUGAAACUGUUUUUCUUGAGUAUCGGAGAGGGAAUCGGAAUUCGUGGGGGAGCGGUGAAAUGCGUAGAUAUUAGGAAGAACACCAGUGGCGAAGGCGGAUUACUGGACGACAACUGACGGUGAGGCGCGAAAGCGUGGGGAGCAAACAGGAUUAGAUACCCCUGUAGUC
This 440-nucleotide ribosomal RNA is filed under the name uncultured bacterium. RNAcentral describes it as "partial 16S ribosomal RNA". It matches the Rfam family "Bacterial small subunit ribosomal RNA", at positions 338 to 795 of the family's 1533-position model. The record is from RNAcentral.